Molecule: long non-coding RNA, 2009 nt
Organism: Oncorhynchus kisutch (coho salmon)
Lineage: Eukaryota; Metazoa; Chordata; Actinopteri; Salmoniformes; Salmonidae
Exons: 3
Source: RefSeq, a predicted model, not a curated record
CACGGGGAAAAGGAGAAGAGGAGCGGACCACAGCUCUCUGGCCAACAGUGCGGAUAUGUGGUGCUCCCCAGACCAGUGUUUUGAGGCAGGAUGGACUACACUGUUCAUCUGAGAUUUCCCCUCCACUCUGCACUCCGUGAUGUCCAGUCCCCAUACACACUCAUCAAAUUGUGCUGAUGCCCCGCUGUAAGAACCUGGAGAUCUUUGCUGGUUCUGAGGGAGGUGACGUGGCCACCAACAGUGCCUGGGAAACGUUCCAGCAUUACAGCUGUUUGGAGAACAGCCAGAUCAUCUCCACAGACAACUGCUGUAACUUCAUCUUUAGCUUGUCAGUUCUGAUUCAACAGCACUCCCAGAAGUCAUGUAUGACUGCUUAACAUCUUUCAACAUACUGCAUGCUCAUGUAUGUGUUUCUUAAUAACUAAAAGUCUAAGGAAGGUUUCUUAUGGCUCAAUAAUAUGAACGGUGUGGAUUUGUAUAGCUCUGCUCAGACCCAUUUCAUAUUGAGGCAAACAUGCAACAGCUCCGUGCCCUUUUACCUUUCCUUGAUUCCUUGCAUCCUUUAUCUGUGCCUCCCCCUGAAACCCUAUCAGAGUGGGUGGCCCAAGGUUCCUCCCCUUAGACCUCCAAUGGGCUUUGAGAUGGAUGCGAGUAGAAGGGAAGUGAGAAGCUCAGCUGAGAUUAACUGGGACAGAGCUCAUGUCAUUGUUUUAGGUGGAGUCUUAUGUUGUUGAUUGAUACAUUUAAUCUGUUUGCACAUCACCAGUCAAAAGUUUGGACUCACCUCCUCAUUCAAGGGUUUUUCAUUAUUUUACUAUUUUCUACAUUGUGGAAUAAUAGUGAGUACAUCAAAACUAUGAAAUAACCCAAAAAGUGUUAAACAAAUCAAAAUAUAUUUUGGAUGUUAGAUUCUUCAAAUUAGCCACCCUUUGCCUUGAGGACAGCUACGCACACUCUUAGCAUUCUCUCAACCAGCGUCACCUGGAAUGCUUUUCCAACGGUCUUGAAGGAGUUCCCACAUAUGCUGAGCACUUGUUUGCUGCUUUUCCUUCACUCUGCGGUCCAACUCAUCUCAAUCGGGUUGAGGUUGGGUGAUUGUGGAGGUUAAAGAAAAACCCUUAAAUGAGAAGUUGUGUCCAAACUUUUAACUGGUACUGUAUAUCUUUGUUCUACUUGUGCGCUUUCCACAGAUGGCUCUGGCUUGCUCAUAACAUCUGAUCUGAUGAGACUCCCUAUACGACUUUAUUACUGCCUGUACUCAAAAAAAUGUCCAAUGCCAAAUUGAAAUAAAUUGGCACUGUAAUUUCAUAAACAAUGGUAUUUCCCAAUCAGACAAUUACUGUCACGCCCUGAUUUGUUUCACCUGUUCCUGUUAUUGUCUCCACCCCCUCCAGGUGUAGCUUAUUUUCCACAGUGUAUUUAUCCCUGUGUUUCCUGUCUCUCUGUGCCAGUUAGUCUUGUAUGUUUAGUCAAGUCAACCAGCGUGUUUUUCCUUGUACUCCUUUUGCUAUUCUCUUUUUGCUAGUCUUCCCGGUUUUGACCCCUGCCUGACUCUGGACUACAUUCCUGCCUGCCUGAUCAUCCUGCCUGCCCUGACCUUGAAUCUGCCUGCCCUUCGGUACCUAAUGGACUCUGAACUGGUUUUGACCUUUUUGCCUGCACACAACCAUUCUCUUGUUUACCCCUUUUUGGAUGAAUAAACAUUGUAAGCCUCCAACCGUCCCCCUCCUGUGUCUGCAUCUGGGUCUCGUCUUGUGCCUUGAUAAAUUACGAUAGAAACAAAUCUGUUUUUCUCAGUUAAAUGUUUGUUGAAUGCAUGCCAUUGCUUUGUCCUUAGUCCUUCUUUGAAUGUGUGCAUACCAUGAUGACACGUUAACCUGAAUUUAGCUGGUUAAUCAUAUUAAUGUCAGUUUACAUUAGGUUCUCCCCUUCAGUUUCUCCAUAUAAUUCAAAUGACCCAUAAUGCUGUGUGUGUAUGCCCUUGAACUUAAUAAAUAUCCUAAACAUUG